RNAcentral lists this ribosomal RNA (253 nucleotides) under uncultured bacterium. Its description in RNAcentral is "partial 16S ribosomal RNA". It matches the Rfam family "Bacterial small subunit ribosomal RNA", at positions 524 to 776 of the family's 1533-position model. The record is from RNAcentral.
GACAGAGGUGCCGAGCGUUAGGCGGAAUCACUGGGCUUAAAGCGUGUGUAGGCGGAUCCGUAAGUACCUUGUGAAAUCCCACGGCUCAACCGUGGAACUGCUGGGUAUACUGGUUCUCUUGAGGUACCUAGGGGCGAGCGGAACAAGUGGUGGAGCGGUGAAAUGCGUAGAUAUCUGGAGGAACACCGGUGGCGAAGGCGGCAUCCUGGACCAAUUCUGACGCUGAGGAGCGAAAGCCAGGGGAGCAAACGGG